CCGUUCGUUAGUCCGUUCGUUCGUCCGUCCGUCCGUCCGUUCCGUCUGUCUGUCCCGCUUCAGGUUAAAGUUUUUGGUCAAGGUAGUUUUUGAUGAAGUUGAAGUCCAAUCGACUUCAAACUUAGUAUACAUGUUCCCUAUGAUAUGAUCUUUUAAAUUUUAAUGCCAAAUUAGAGGGUUUACCCCAAUUUCACGGUCCACUGAACAUAGAAAAUGAUAGUGCGAGUGGGGCAUUCGUGUACUGGGGACACAUUCUUGUUUGUAGCCUGU
RNAcentral lists this long non-coding RNA (270 nucleotides) under Mytilus galloprovincialis (Mediterranean mussel). The record is from RNAcentral. Lineage: Eukaryota; Metazoa; Mollusca; Bivalvia; Mytilida; Mytilidae.